AACAUCCAGUAAGUACAUGAGCACCUAGAUGCAGUAAAACAGCAAAACAAUUACUGAUAAAGGACAUAUUUUACUUACCUUCAGCUAUAUACAAUUGAAAUUCUAAAUUUAUAAUUGAAUUUUGGCCAGGUGCGCGAUAAAAAGGGAGCUUUUCUCAGAACACAUACAGACGUUAUUACAUACAUAUAUGAGUAUAUCAACAGAUAAAUAGAUAUAAAAAGCACAGCAAUCUCUUCUAGAAACAGGAUGUUACGCAUACUUUUAUUAUAAAGGGAAACGUACACAAAGUUAGCGGAUCCAAAUAUUUAACAUCUUAGUUACGGGAACCAAGAGGUGAUAUUAAUAAAGUGACUGCAGUUUUGAGUGCACGCUAGUUGUUAGGUCGAUAUGUUGUAAUAAAGUGCGAACAGAGUAAAGCGCCUAAAUGCAAUGCACUUGAAAGUAACAUGCUGUCGGACUGAUGCAAGAGAUAGUACUGUGGUAAAAUUUGACUGCAUACA
This is a long non-coding RNA of Pyrus x bretschneideri (Chinese white pear), 500 nucleotides long. RefSeq lists it as uncharacterized. Lineage: Eukaryota; Viridiplantae; Streptophyta; Magnoliopsida; Rosales; Rosaceae. The record is from RefSeq and is a predicted model, not a curated record. The transcript is spliced from 2 exons.